UACAGAGGGUGCAAGCGUUAAUCGGAAUUACUGGGCGUAAAGCGCGCGUAGGUGGCUUAAUAAGUCAGAUGUGAAAGCCCCGGGCUUAACCUGGGAACUGCAUCUGAUACUGUUAGGCUCGAGUAUGGGAGAGGGAAGUAGAAUUUCAGGUGUAGCGGUGAAAUGCGUAGAGAUCUGAAGGAAUACCAAUGGCGAAGGCAGCUUCCUGGCCUAAUACUGACACUGAGGUGCGAAAGCGUGGGUAGCAAACAGG
This 253-nucleotide ribosomal RNA is filed under the name uncultured bacterium. Its description in RNAcentral is "partial 16S ribosomal RNA". It matches the Rfam family "Bacterial small subunit ribosomal RNA", at positions 524 to 776 of the family's 1533-position model. The record is from RNAcentral.